This 460-nucleotide ribosomal RNA is filed under the name uncultured bacterium. RNAcentral's name for it is "partial 16S ribosomal RNA". It matches the Rfam family "Bacterial small subunit ribosomal RNA", at positions 338 to 795 of the family's 1533-position model. The record is from RNAcentral.
CCUACGGGAGGCUGCAGUGAGGAAUAUUGGUCAAUGGGCGGUAGCCUGAACCAGCCAAGUAGCGUGCAGGAUGACGGCCCUACGGGUUGUAAACUUCUUUUAUACGGGAAUAACGCGCAUUAUGUAUAGGGCUUUGCAUGUACCGUAUGAAUAAGGACCGGCUAAUUCCGUGCCAGCAGCCGCGGUAAUACGGAGGGUUCGAGCGUUAUCCGGAUUUAUUGGGUUUAAAGGGAGCGUAGGCGGCAUGUCAAGCGUGUUGUGAAAUGUUCGGGCUCAACCGUGGCAUUGCAGUGGGUACUGGCGUGCUUGAGUCCGCGGAAGGCAGGCGGAAUUCGUGGUGUAGCGGUGAAAUGCUUAGAUAUGACGAAGAACCCCGAUUGCGAAGGCAGCUUGCUGCAGCGGAACUGACGCUGAUGCUCGAAAGCGCGGGUAUCGAACAGGAUUAGAUACCCGAGUAGUC